Non-coding RNA from Phasianus colchicus (ring-necked pheasant), 2394 nucleotides. NCBI's taxonomy places the organism in Eukaryota, Metazoa, Chordata, Aves, Galliformes, Phasianidae. The record is from RefSeq and is a predicted model, not a curated record.
AGUUUUUGCACUGGCAUCUGAAUUUCAUUUAUGGAAGAAAUGUGCUGAAAGUAUUGUUUCUGAAUCAUGAAUCUAGAAUUCCAUCUACAGCAGGGUCUAAUGACUGCAUCUGUUCAGAAGAAUUCCUUAAUCUCUAAGAGCUGCAUGGAAAACAACAAGCAAAACUGAUUUUGUGCUAACUGCAGCUCAUUUCUAUUCUUUCAGAAAGAUGGAAUUAUGUACUCCAAUCCAGUGUCACUGGAACUUAUACCUUUAUCUCACCGAGUUGCUACUCCUUGAAUUAGGAAGAUGCAAAAGAACUGUCUUCCUUCCCUUCAGUUGAAACUACUCUCAGUGAAAAUUUUAUGAGCGAUAAAUAGGAAAAGAAAUACACUGGUAAUAUUCAACGUGAGUCAACCUCUGUCUGCUCAGAAGAGUGAAAGAAUGAAUUGUGAAUUGUUGCUCUGUCAUAUUAACAAAUCUCCCUGAGGUGAGUUGCUGGCGAAGUUAUGUUUCCUUCAUUAUCUGUGUUCUAGUUACUUAUGCAUUUUAAUAAGAUGGUUUUCAGUAUCACAAGGUGAGUGGUUCUUCCUGAUGCUUUUUGUACAUCUGCCUUCCAACCUAAUGUCAUUAAUCUUAAAACAACAUCAACAAAAACAAUAAAACCAACAAAAAGCAGUCCAUGAAUAAAUGGCAUAGUAUUGUGUGUACUUCUUAACCAGACUGAAGUAAAUUCACUGAGAAAGUCAAUUCAUUUUUAAAUUCUUUGUAAGGUCACUGGGAUUUCCAAGUUUUAUACAUACACUGGACAUCUAUCUGCACUGCUGCUGUCAGAGAGCACUAGUCUUUAUUGCAAUAGUAUUACAUCUUAACAAACUACCUACAAAAGUUAAGGAAGUAGGCCAGCCAUUCUAUCCUGAACCAGCUUGAAAUGCUCCCUGUGCAAAGCCUUUUUGGGUGGAAGAGCUAACUGGAAGCUGAAGGAGCUGCCUGUACCUCCCCAAGAACGUGUAGCUAUUGUCACAAAGCUGUGGAUUAGUGCAGUUGCCCUGUUGAUGCAUUCCUUCUAAUAUGUAGUGCCCUGGUGGCUGAACAUAGUAUUGUUUUGAAUGGGAAUCACUGUGGUCUCUUUUCUAGUUGACUGUAUCUUUUGUCGUUUUAAAUUUUCGAAUUUUCUGUUGCUUUGAUAUAUCAGCUUCCAGCAUUAUCAGCACUCUUGUUCUCAAUGUUCUGUUAAAUUAAAUGUCAAGAGGUGAUGACUCAUGCCUCACUGGUACCAUCUUUCACUUUAUCAUAUGAAAUAUACGUUUUUGACUACACCAUUCUUUUCUGUAGUACUUUGAUAUGUAGUGACACUGCUUAAGAUUUCAAAGAGUUCAAGGCUAUGUGCCCAAUCCUUCUCUACUUCUCUGAAAAGAAACCACCCAGAACAAACACCGCUUAAACUCUUGCCCUGUAAGCUGAAGCCUGUUGCCAGAUGUCUAGUUUUACACCACAGAUGCAAACUUCACAAAAAAUUCUGACUGUAUCUGUGUUAGUAUCAUCUCUUUGAAUGGCAAAUGUGGAAUUUCUACUUGGCGUAGUUUGCACUAGGGUGUUGGCAUAGGAAAUAUGGUGAACCCAGGAGCAGUGAAGUGUCAUUUUGUGAUCCAUAAAUUCCGGUAGGACUCUUGUUAGAUUGAGUAACCAGGUAGAGUUAGCAGAAUCAGGUGGCUGCUUUGCCCACUUCUAAUCAGACUCAGCAUGCCUGCUGUUGUGCUAAGCAAACAUCUUGCCCUCUAAUCAGCUGACCAUUUCAGGUUUAGUUUUAUUCUAGUUCUUAAUCUGAGGCUACGUUUAAGAAGUCAUGAAUUACUGUAGAUAAGGAUGGGUUUAGGUGUCUCACUAAAACUUCUUUCCAUUUUCCCAUAGGUGGCUGUACUAAACCAAGAUGAAUGUGUUUAACCUUAGUUUAAAAGCUUGGCUAGUUUGGAAUUAAGAAAUUCUAACUUAGGAAUCAAAGUCCCCAGACAGCAAAUAGUCUCAAAAUGUCGAGUGGUAAGAACGCUGUCAAUAUAAUAGUGGCUUCAGCUACGAAAAACCCAGGCAAAACACACAGUCAAAAAAUAUAUCAUGAUGAUGAACUGAAGUCUUGCUUCCUUCUUUUUGUAAUAUCCAAAGGUGAGUCUGUACUGCCACGGAAUAAACUGAGACAUUUCCUUAAUUUAUUCUAGUGUCAUGUAAAUUUAUAAAUGGCAAAUUUUGUAACAAUUACUUCUGUAAAGCGUACUUAAAGUGUACGUAUUAUAUCACCUACUAAAUCAUGGAUAACCAACCUUUUGGUUUGCUUGGGCCAUAAUGAGUGAAAAGGAAUAGUCAUAUUCAUGUCAACUGAAAAAGGAGUUGUGAAUAUGCAAAAAAAAAAAAAAAAAAAAA